GUGAACGCUGGCGGUAGGCCUAACACAUGCCAGUCGAACGGCAGCACAGUAAGAGCUUGCUCUUACGGGUGGCGAGUGGCGGACGGGUGAGGAAUACAUCGGAAUCUACUUUUUCGUGGGGGAUAACGUAGGGAAACUUACGCUAAUACCGCAUACGACCUACGGGUGAAAGCAGGGGAUCUUCGGACCUUGCGCGAUUGAAUGAGCCGAUGUCGGAUUAGCUAGUUGGCGGGGUAAAGGCCCACCAAGGCGACGAUCCGUAGCUGGUCUGAGAGGAUGAUCAGCCACACUGGAACUGAGACACGGUCCAGACUCCUACGGGAGGCAGCAGUGGGGAAUAUUGGACAAUGGGCGCAAGCCUGAUCCGGCCAUACCGCGUGGGUGAAGAAGGCCUUCGGGUUGUAAAGCCCUUUUGUUGGGAAAGAAAAGCAGCAGGUUAAUACCCCGCUGUUCUGACGGUACCCAAAGAAUAAGCACCGGCUAACUUCGUG
Molecule: ribosomal RNA, 491 nt
Filed under: uncultured bacterium
Lineage: Bacteria
Description: partial 16S ribosomal RNA
Rfam family: Bacterial small subunit ribosomal RNA
Source: RNAcentral